RNAcentral lists this long non-coding RNA (4998 nucleotides) under Sus scrofa (pig). Its description in RNAcentral is "lncRNA (ENSSSCG00000055671.1)". The record is from RNAcentral. Lineage: Eukaryota; Metazoa; Chordata; Mammalia; Artiodactyla; Suidae.
CAGAGGCUUUGCUCUAGAUCUUCUGGUGACGGGGUCUGCCUGUCAGUUAAUCAGAACACGGCGGGCAGUCUGUGUAUAGCCAAGCACAAUGAAUCACUUGUUCUGUGUUUGGGGGAAGAGGAGGUACAGUUCUCUCGCGGUCUCUUUCCUUCCUCUCCUCUGUGUGGUUCACCCAAGCCACUUCUCAUCCUCCUCCUUAGUUUGCAGAAAUUGGUAUCAGAAGUUUUGUUUUGACCUGUGUUAUUGCCUCCAGUUGUAACAAUGCUCCAGAGUUCCCACUGUGGCUCAGUGCAUUAAGGACCCAAGGUAGUCUUUGUGAGGAUGUGGAUUUGAACCCUGGCCUUACUCAGUGGGUUCAGGACCCAGCAUUGCCAUAUGCUGUGUUGCAGGUCACAGAUGUGGCUCAGAUCUGACUUGGCUGUGACUGUGGCUGGCAGCUGCAGCUCCCAUUCAGCCCCUGGCUGGGGAACUUCAUAUGCUUAGGGUCGGCAGUAAGGAGAAAAAAUAAAGACCAAAAACAGUUGUAAUAAUGCUCCUAUUGCCAGGACAUCAGUGAUCAGAAAUGUUGGUGAUUCGGCGUUAUAUAACGAAGAACACGGGCUCGGGAAGCAGACAGCCCUGUCUCUACCACUUAUGAGCUGUGUGACCUGAGCAAGGAGCUUAGCUCAUCCAGCAAAAGUAGCAGGUGUUUGCAUGGGUUCCAACAUCCUUGGAAGCAAAGACUGUGUGACCUUGUCCUAGACACAAGGUAUUAAAGUAAGUGCUACCUGCCACAACAGAGAGAGCUGCAAACCUUCAUGCAUUCGCCUAGUAGAGUUUAUUUCUCACUCACUGACAUUUUCAGUGCCGACUUAGGCUCUGCUCCGUGCGGGUCAGGACCCAGGGUGCCACCAUCAUCUCGUGACCUCUGAGAUCAUCUGCCACCUUCAUCUCAUGACCUCUGCACUUGUCUUGGGCACCAGCAUGCAGAGGGAAGAUGGGACGCGAGAGAGGAAGGUCACUGGGGGACUUCUCGGGCUUACCUUGCACGAGGUGGGCACACCGACACCCACUCAUCCUUGCUCAUCUCUCCUUAACAGGCAGGAGGGCUGCGGGGUGCAGUCUGGCUGUGUGUGCAGCCAAAGGGAGAAGCGCAUUUGGUGAGCCGGUCCAUGGCAUGUGCCACAGCGGACGCUCUGAGAGGAGCAGACACGGUGCUUGCCCUCCACCUAAAAACCAGCGGGAGAGGUUGGGGCGACACAUGUGAGGUCAUCCAAGAAGAAAGAUGUUCUGCUUACGCUCUGACCCUGGUACCCGAGCGAUGUGGCAGAGGGGGCAUGGUGGGCUGGCUUAGAUGGGAAAGGGCUUUCUGGAGCGGGUGGCAUUUGACACCUGAUCUAAAACUUGAAUUUGUUCUUAAAGACCCGUAAGAAUUGGACAUGAAGGGGUGGGAUUGGGAUUCAUGUGGCAGGACAAGAAACAGUUUAUCCUUUGGCAUCACCCACAUCUUACACAUGGGCCUUAUGUCCACAACAGAAGACUGACGGGCUGAUCAUUGGUCCCUAAACAUGUGUGAGAUCAGUACGUGUCUGCGAGGCCUGCUUGAUGUCCUUCUCAGGACAUAUGUUCUGGCUGUUCCCAGAUCUUCUGCCUGAAAGAUGCCCCCACCCACCUACCCAGCAUGACUUCUAUAUCCUCACCAUUUUUCAUUUUUAAUCAUGGAAAUGAUUGCUACCUGAAACAUGUGUUUUUUCUGCUGGUCUAAUUUCUUCCCCAAGGGCCCUUGAGGGCAGGGCCUUGUCCAUCACGUUCGUGUCUGAAUGCCCAGCACUUACAACAGAGUCUGCACGAAAGAGAGGCAUGAUCCGUGCUUCUUCAGUGAUGAAACACUCAGAUGAGGCAUUUGGGAGAGAUUCUGGACGCGUUUAGUCCAAACUCUGCAGACGUCAGUGCAUCCCAGCCCCCAUCUGGGACCAGUUUGAGGGUUUGUGAAACACUGCUGGUCUCCAAAGCGCUUAAAUGCCCAUAAAAAAGUAAAGUGGUUUGAAAUCAUGACAGACACUCUGGGACUGGGUCAGCGUCCGUGUUCUGGUCCCUGCUCUGCCCCCAAGUGUGUCUUAGGCUCCAGCACAGCUUUUUCCUAUGUGGUCUGUGAGGCAUAUUUAUGACGGCUGCUGUAAAUCCGGGUUGUCUUGAUGUUGGUGUCUAUGGAUUGUCUUUUCUCAUCCAUGUUCUGGUUGCCACUCUGCCCCCAAGUGCGUCUUCACAGCUGGAGCCCAAGCCUCUCACAACCUCUUUCUAAGGUUUCUACCAAAUCCACAAUCUUGUAAACUGUUUUUACGAGUGGAUAGGAUAACAUUCUGUUUCAAAGUACUUAAUAAAAUGUGUGUUGGUCGGGAUUCGGUAACAGAACCGCUAGGCAGGGUAGGAAUUGAUACAAAGGGACUAGGUACAGGAACUUGCUUCUGAUGCCUGGGGGAGCUGGUCCAGAUGCCUCUGCAAACUGGUGACUUUGUGGCUAUGCCAGACCCUGACGCCACAGCGUGGGCGGAUGGAAAGGAAGGUGGUAGGGUGAAGCUGGGGCUGGGGCCCUGGAGGGCACCCUGAACCUACCAGUUGUCCCUGGGCCUGACCUUGGGAGUUUGGUCCUGCAGGGGACAGGGGACAGUGGCCCCUUUGCCCUAGGGUUAGGACACACCCAGCCUAGGGGUGAGAGCAACGGGGCCCAGGGGCAAAUGCACUAUUAGUCCGGUCUGCUGUCCCACCCCAGUGAGGUGAGCCUGCAGAUAAAGGGCCAGGAGCCCCAGCUUCCUGGUGGCUGCCACCAGGAGGGGCCCUGGGCCCACCCUAACUGGAGACAUACAGGUAAGGGGGCUCUGGGCAGCGCAGUCCUGCCAGGGCAGGUUGCAGGGACCAAGCUGCCAUGAGGCAGGUUUGUGAUUUCAUGAAAUAAUUUUCAAGCACAUACAGGAAGGAACAAUUUCCCUUUUUUUUGGGGGGGUGGUCUCUGAGCCUCAGUGGUGUCUGUAAUCCUAUCGGUGUUGUGAUAACAAAAACAGACACGGGUGGAGAGCAAGUGGAGAGACUCUGCGCAUCCAGUGCGAGGGUCUCGAAGGAGCUGGGCCAUCCCAUCCAUCCUUCGUGUUUUAUUGAUGAGAAAUCCAAGGGCUGCUAAAUGCCCAUAUCUGUCCUGGGUCCCUCCUGUGUGGUGACACCUUUGGGGUAGAACUCGGGGAUCUGGUGACCAGCCCCAGCCCAUUGGAUGGUCUUAUCUCUCUCAUCUCUGCCUCUAGGAACACAGGCUGGUGGCUUCUCUGCGGGUCGUGGGGGGAAGAUCAGUGGAUCUUACAUCACCAGGGACAUGCACUCGCCCCCAGGACUGCUGCCAAGGAGAAGUGUCUGAGGGAGAAGUUUCCAGCAACGCUUUUUUUUCCUCAUUAUUUACGGUUUUAUUGAAGCAUAGUUGAUUUACAAGGUGGUGAUAAUUUCUGCUCUACAACAAAGGGAUGCAGUUAUACGCACACACACAUCCAUUCUUUUCCAGAUUCUUCCUCAUAUAGAUUAUUAAGAAUAUUCCAGCAACCCUCUCGCCUGCCUGUCCUCUGAGCAGCUGGGCCUGGGGUUCCAGAGCCUGGGGGUGUGACGUGGCUGGUGGAAGACAGACCAGAGUCAUCCCUUUCUGUUCUCUGUACCCGAAGUUCAGAGGUAGAGACUGCUGUGUCCACAGCCCCCCCGAGUUUUACCCUCCACAUCCUACAUUGGAGCACAGCUGCAAGGUUCCUGGGGACUGACCUGAGUUGGUGUGAAAGGAAAAGCAGCUGGAAUCAGCCAUGGACAGACCAAAGCCAUCCUGGGUGCACGCCAACAAGUAGAAACACCCUGAGUACACCUUGUAUCAGUGGCUGAUAUGCAGAGUUUUCUUUUUUCUUUUUUUUUCUUUUUGCUUUUUAGGGACUCACCCGAGGCAUAUGGAAGUUCCCAGGCUAGGGGUUGAAUCAGAGCUACAACUGCCAGCCUACACAAUAGCUACAGCAAUGCAGGAUCCAAGCCAAGUCUGUAACCACACCACAGCUCACGGCAAGGCCCGAUCCUUAACCCACUGAGCAAGGCCAGGGAUCAAACCCACAACCUCAUGGUUCCUAGUGGGAUUCAUUUCCACUGCGCCAUGAUGGGAACUCAAGUUUUCUUAUUUUAAUUCACAAAGAGGCUCUUCCCAGAGUUAAGGACUGAUUCACCGGUCCCCAUAUGUGACACUUUAUAGUUUUAUGGGUAUUUACUGUGAUCAUCAACUUGGCAUUUAUAAGUUUGGUCUUCUUAACUUCCUUAGCACCCAAACACAGAGCUAAAACAUUAACUGAAGUUCAUAGGCUAUAAAAUGGCACAGGUGGGCAGACCCUCCCUGGGCAAGGCCCCCAUCACGCCCUGGAGCUGAGAGAGGACGGGACUGCCAGGGAGGGGGCCGCUGAGUCACUGUGUGCACAGCAGCAGACGUGGCCUGGAGAGCUGUGAGCAGGAUGUAUUUACUGCUCUUAACUCAUAAAGAGAUGUAAAAGUGAUGGUCUUUAAGGCAGCGCUGAGAGCCUGCCAUCUGCCAGGAACCUCAGCAAAUGCCAAGAAGGGACAUCAUUUCUUGGCAGAACGUUCCUCUUUCUAAGGAAAUCCUUAAAUCCAAACUAGCCUGUUAAGUGAAGAAAUGCAGAAAAAAAAAAUCUCAGCUUAGGGACGAGGCCUACUUAUAGAGUGUCUAUUCUGCAGGAAGUCGUUUUCAGAAGUUCCCAUCGUGGUUCACUGGUAACCAGCCCGACUAGUAUCUAUGAGGAUGUGGAUUCGAUCCCUGGCCUUGCUCAGUGGGUUAAGGAUCUGGCAUUACUGUGAGCUGUGGCCUAAGUCACAGACACGGCUUGGAUCCUGAGUUGCUGUGGCUGUGGUGCAGGCCAGCAGCUGUAGCUCUGAUUCAACCCCGAGCCUGGGAACUUCCAUAUGCUGCAGGUGUAGCCCUAAAAAGCAAAAAGCAAAUAG